GCCGAGGUGGCAGAGUGGACGAAAGCGCCGGUCUUGAGAAUCGGUGGUGCUGACGCACCUCGGGAGUUCGAAUCUCCCCCUCGGCG
Molecule: transfer RNA, 86 nt
Filed under: Methanohalobium evestigatum Z-7303
Lineage: Archaea; Methanobacteriati; Methanobacteriota; Methanomicrobia; Methanosarcinales; Methanosarcinaceae
Rfam family: tRNA
About the family: Transfer RNA (tRNA) molecules are approximately 80 nucleotides in length. Their secondary structure includes four short double-helical elements and three loops (D, anti-codon, and T loops).
Source: Rfam by way of RNAcentral